UAUGUAGUUAUUAGGGCUUAUCCAAAGAAGAACCAGGCGAGGGGGUUGCCUCUGAGAUGUGGGUUUGGGGGUGGGCAGAGGUGGAGGAAAGAUAGUUACCUCUUGCUAUUAAUUCUUUAGUUUUAGAGAAUUUGUUAUGGUUACAUCACUGGGCUAUUAUAAUUAUAGGAACAUGGUCUUUUUAAAGAAAGGCAUCUGAAAAGAAGGCAUUGGGCCAUGGAUGACGGUGCCACCUGAGAGUAGAGCAUGGUGGGUUCAGCAUGGAGUCUGCCCAGGGUUCUAAGCCCAGCUUUGCUAUUUCCUAGCUGUGUGACUCUGAGAAAGUUGCUUAACUUCUCUGUGCCUCAGUUCCUCCAACUGUGAGAUGAGAGUAAGGGCGUCCACCUUGCAGAGCUGUUGUGAGGGCUGGAUGAGUAAAUCCAAGGAAAGCAGUUACAGCAGUGCCUCGCACACAGCACUCUAUCCAUGGUGGCUGUCAUCAUCCCUACGAUGGAAUGGGACACAUCCACUUAAAUACAUCGGAGAAUGCCAGUGAGUUCAUCUUACGUAUAAAAAAGCGGGAUAGGACACUGCAGAUGCGAAUCUGAUCUCCAUCAUGUGUGUCCGUGUGCGUGUGCAGACAGCCUGCACACAGGAGCACAUCACGCAGGCUUUCUCAAGCUCGGCACCAGUGACACUCGGGCUGGGUGAUGCUCUCGUAUGGGAGCUGCCCUGUGCACUGUAGGGUGUUGAGCAGCAACCCUGCUGGACUCCAGUAGCCCCACUCCCCGUCGUGACCACCAAGAUGUCUCUGGACAUUACCAAACGUCCCUGCGGGAGGGCAAAGUCGCCCCCAGUUGAGAACCAUUUGGUUAAUAAGGACCAGAAGGAAAGACACCACGAUAGUAAGAGAGCAGAAUGAGAUGUCAGGAGGAGGAGAGGCUAGCUGGUGCUGAAGCCCCCAUCUUGUUCCAGGUACAGCCUCAGAAACUCCGGCAGCUUUGCCACCAGGUGCCAGCACCUCUAUACACAGGCCACAGCCUCCUUCCUGGAAGAUGCCAUGGGGUGCAGCAAUGAGAAAGCCGCCACGUACUGGGGGACCAUCACGGCCAGCACCAUCCUAGCUGCCUAGUAACCGACACAAACGAGGACCCCGGUUUUCGGGCCUUGUCGCUCCCCCACCCCCUGGCGCCCCUUGCCCGGAGUGGAGCACGGCCUGGGGCCCCUGCUCAACCACCUGUGGGCUGGGCGUGGCCACUCGGGUGUCCAACCAGAACCGCCUCUGCCGACUGGAGACCCAGCGCCGCCUGUGCCUGCCUGGGCCCUGUCCACCUGCCAGGGGCCGCGGCCCAUGGAACAGUGCCUUUUAGAGCAGGCCUGGGAAUCUGGAGGUUCCGUGCCCGCCCUCCCCAGCAGGCAAGCCAGUGCUUGGGCCCUGAGCAGAAGGCAGAUGGCCCCUCCCCGCCCCCUUGGCUGGGGCAACGACAUCCAGGCCCCGGAGGACAAGAAUGUUCACAAGUCAUCUGGUCCACCUGGACCCUGAGAUAGAGCCGGGAUGUCUGCCCCAGUCCCCCUUCCUCUACCUCACAGCCUAGGCUGGCCAAGGUUUCCAGAGUCUUCUGGUCCAUUCCCAGCCUCCACACAGCCUUUAUCAAACAUGUGCAUAGGCAAGCUUUCCAGCAGAUAGGGCAACCAGCUGUCCCUUAAUCAUUAGGCCGAGGCAGGUGCUGGGCUGGACUGGCUAUUUUUCCAGGGGUGUGGUGAAAAGGGGCACGCAGAUAUUCUGAAUCUCCUGCUUCCUUUCCUGGAGUGACAUAAAAACGUCCCCAAAUACAUGCCUGUGCAAGAGCUUGUAGGUCCGGCUUAUGCUGUCUGAGAAAGCCUGCCCCAUCCAGGGCAGAAUUCAGAGGCUGUGUGCUUUGUGAAAAUCACAAGGUGAAAUCACACUGUCUUGAAGAAAGUCAGAAAACAGGCCUGAGAGUGAUCCCUUAAACCCAACUUGUAUUAUUAAGAAUGAACCUUUCUCAGGCACCUGCAAUGUGCCAGGCGCUGAGCUAGACUCUUUAUAUAUAGGUUGGUGCUUUGCAACAUUUAAGACCAGAGAAAAGUAGGGGAGAAUGAAGGAUAGCCCCUGGGGACUGGGGAACAUGGCCUGAAAUAAAUCAACCCAAGCGUGAAAUUC
This is a non-coding RNA of Leptonychotes weddellii (Weddell seal), 2161 nucleotides long. The record is from RefSeq and is a predicted model, not a curated record. NCBI's taxonomy places the organism in Eukaryota, Metazoa, Chordata, Mammalia, Carnivora, Phocidae.